UAAGGAAUAUUGGUCAAUGGACGCAAGUCUGAACCAGCCAUGCCGCGUGAAGGAUGAAGGUCCUCUGGAUUGUAAACUUCUUUUAUCUGGGACGAAAACGGGAUUUUUAUCUCAAUUGACGGUACCAGAGGAAUAAGCACCGGCUAACUCCGUGCCAGCAGCCGCGGUAAUACGGAGGGUGCGAGCGUUAUCCGGAUUUACUGGGUUUAAAGGGUGCGUAGGUGGGCUUAUAAGUCAGUGGUGAAAUCUCCGAGCUUAACUUGGAAACUGCCGUUGAUACUAUAGGUCGUGAAGUAUCUGGAGGUAAGCGGAAUAUGUCAUGUAGCGGUGAAAUGCUUAGAUAUGACAUAGAACACCAAUUGCUAAGGCAGCUUACUACAUAUAAAUUGACGCUGAGGCACGAAAGCGUGGGGAUCAAACA
This 421-nucleotide ribosomal RNA is filed under the name uncultured bacterium. RNAcentral describes it as "bacterial SSU rRNA". It matches the Rfam family "Bacterial small subunit ribosomal RNA", at positions 355 to 774 of the family's 1533-position model. The record is from RNAcentral.